UCAAGCUACUAAGGGCGCAAGGUGGAUGCCUUGGUGCCAGGAGGCGAUGAAAGACGUGGUUAGCUGCGAUAAGCUUCGGGGAGCCGCUAAACAGGCUUAGAUCCGGGGAUUUCUGAAUGGGGAAACCCGGUCCGUGUCAUGACGGAUCAUCUGCAACUGAAUUCAUAGGUUGCUGAAGCGAACGAGGGGAACUGAAACAUCUAAGUACCCUCAGGAAAAGAAAACGACAGUGAUUCCCUAAGUAGUGGCGAGCGAACGGGGAAGAGCCUAAACCGAUUGUGUGUGAUAGCCUGCAAGCGUUGCAUAGUCGGGGUUGCGGAGCUCCAUUAGAGAGGAUUGCAGUUUUCUCGGAAAGUUACAAAAUCUGUUUAUAGUCGAAAUCGUUGGAAAGCGAUGUCACAGAGGGUGAUAGCCCCGUAAACGAAAUGAACAGAUCUUUCUGAAUGGAGUUUCCAAGUACUGCGGGACACGAGAAAUCCCGCAGGAAACUAGGGGGACCAUCUCCUAAGGCUAAAUACUACCUGGCAACCGAUAGUGAACUAGUACCGUGAGGGAAAGGUGAAAAGCACUCCGAAAGGAGAAUGAAAUAGUACCUGAAACCGUGCGCCUACAAGGUGUGGAAGGACCAGGGAUAGGGCUUGCCUUAUCCGGUCUAACUGCGUGCCUUUUGUAUAAUGAGUCAGCGAGUUACUCUACGUAGCGAGGUUAAGCCGACAGGUGGAGCCGUAGCGAAAGCGAGUCUUAAUAGGGCGAUUUAGUUGCGUGGAGUAGACCCGAAGCCAAGUGAUCUAUCCAUGGCCAGGGUGAAGCGCAUGUAACAGUGCGUGGAGGCCCGAACCGGUGUGAGUUGAAAAUCGCUCGGAUGAGCUGUGGAUAGGGGUGAAAGGCCAAUCAAACUUGGAAAUAGCUGGUUCUCCCCGAAAUAUAUUUAGGUAUAGCCUCGCAACUUUAAGUAUCGGAGGUAGAGCACUGAAUGGGCUAGGGGUCUUACCGGACUACCAACCCCAAUCAAACUCCGAAUGCCGAUAACUUCAAUUGCGGGAGUCAGACUAUGGGAGAUAAGUUCCGUGGUCGAGAGGGAAACAGCCCAGACCGCCNNCCAGGAGGUUGGCUUAGAAGCAGCCAUCCUUUAAAGAAAGCGUAAUAGCUCACUGGUCAAAUGAGUCUGCGCCGAAAAUUUACCGGGGCUCAAGCAUGUAACCGAAGCUGCGGAUUCGCACCGCAAGGUGGGAGUGGUAGGGGAGCAUUCUAUCGUAGGUUGAAGCCGGAUCGUAAGGCCCGGUGGACGAAAUAGAAGAGAUUAUGCUGACAUAAGUAGCGAUAAAGUCUGUGAAAAACAGACUCGCCGAAAACCUAAGGUUUCCUGAGUAAAGUUAAUCUGCUCAGGGUUAGUCGAACCCUAAGCCGAGGCCGUCAGGCGUAGGUGAUGGGAAACAGGUUAAUAUUCCUGUACCACUGGAGAAGCGUUAUCAACAAUGGGGUGACGUAGAAGGGUAGGCCAUCCGGGUGUUGGAUGUCCCGGUUCAAGCUUGUAGGAGGAGAUUCCAGGCAAAUCCGGAAUUUUAUUAAACUCUGAGAAGCGAUGUGGAGAGAUUUAUCUCGUAAACUGGUUGAUCCCAUGCUACCAAGAAAAACCUCUAGUGAGUUUCUUUGGUGAUCGUACCGUAAACUGACACAGGUAGGUAAGGAGAAUAUCCUAAGGCGCUUGAGUGAUCUCUCGUUAAGGAACUCGGCAAAAUAACACCGUAACUUCGGAAGAAGGUGUGCCUCAUUAGCGUGAAGCGAUUAGCACGUGAAGCGCGAGGAGGUUGCAGUGAAACGGCCCAAGCGACUGUUUAGCAAAAACACAGGACUCUGCUAAGUCGUAAGACGAUGUAUAGGGUCUGACGCCUGCCCGGUGCCGGAAGGUUAAGGGGAUUUGUUAGCCGCAAGGCGAAGCUUUGAACCGAAGCCCCGGUAAACGGCGGCCGUAACUAUAACGGUCCUAAGGUAGCGAAAUUCCUUGUCGGGUAAGU
This 2015-nucleotide ribosomal RNA is filed under the name Syntrophaceae bacterium. RNAcentral's name for it is "bacterial LSU rRNA". It matches the Rfam family "Bacterial large subunit ribosomal RNA", at positions 3 to 1981 of the family's 2925-position model. The record is from RNAcentral. Lineage: Bacteria; Pseudomonadati; Thermodesulfobacteriota; Syntrophia; Syntrophales; Syntrophaceae.